RNAcentral lists this ribosomal RNA (497 nucleotides) under uncultured bacterium. Its description in RNAcentral is "partial 16S ribosomal RNA". It matches the Rfam family "Bacterial small subunit ribosomal RNA", at positions 28 to 507 of the family's 1533-position model. The record is from RNAcentral.
GAUGAACGCUGGCGGCGUGCCUAAUACAUGCAAGUCGAGCGAACAGAUGAGGAGCUUGCUCCUCUGACGUUAGCGGCGGACGGGUGAGUAACACGUGGAUAACCUACCUAUAAGACUGGGAUAACUUCGGGAAACCGGAGCUAAUACCGGAUAAUAUAUUGAACCGCAUGGUUCAAUAGUGAAAGACGGUUUUGCUGUCACUUAUAGAUGGAUCCGCGCCGCAUUAGCUAGUUGGUAAGGUAACGGCUUACCAAGGCAACGAUGCGUAGCCGACCUGAGAGGGGGAUCGGCCACAGUGGAACUGAGACACGUUCCAGACUCCUACGGGAGGCAGCAGUAGGGAAUCUUCCGCAAUGGGCGAAAGCCUGACGGAGCAGCGCCGCGUGAGUGAUGAAGGUCUUCGGAUCGUAAAACUCUUUUAUUAGGGAAGAACAAAUGUGUAAGUAACUAUGCACGUCUGGAGGGUACCUAAUCAGAAAGCCAGGGCAAACUACGUG